This 403-nucleotide ribosomal RNA is filed under the name Gyrodinium helveticum. Its description in RNAcentral is "partial small subunit ribosomal RNA". It matches the Rfam family "Eukaryotic small subunit ribosomal RNA", at positions 30 to 432 of the family's 1831-position model. Lineage: Eukaryota; Dinophyceae; Gymnodiniales; Gymnodiniaceae. The record is from RNAcentral.
GCUUGUCUCAAAGAUUAAGCCAUGCAUGUCUAAGUAUAAGCCUUUAUAUGGUGAGACUGCGAAUGGCUCAUUAAAUCAGAAACUGUUUAUUUGAUAGUGCCUACUACAUGGAUACCUGUAGUAAUUCUAGAGCUAAUACAUGCAAAAAGCCUGGACUUCUGGAACAGGCGUAUUUAUUAGAUAUACAGAACCAACCCAGGCUCCGCCUGGCCUUGAGGUGAUUCACAAUAACCGAACGAAUCGCAUAGCUGCCGCUGGCGAUAGACCAUUCAAGUUUCUGACCUAUCAGCUAUCGUCGGUAGGGUAUUGGCCUACCGUGGCAAUGACGGGUAACGGAGAAUUAGGGUUCGAUUCCGGAGAGGGAGCCUGAGAAACGGCUACCACAUCUAAGGAAGGCAGCAGG